This is a long non-coding RNA of Bos taurus (domestic cattle), 1073 nucleotides long. Lineage: Eukaryota; Metazoa; Chordata; Mammalia; Artiodactyla; Bovidae. The record is from Ensembl.
GAGAGAGUGACGUUGAAUCGGAGAUAGGAGGAAUGUGUGGGUGAAGCAGAGGGAAUGUUGUUUAUGAAAUUCCCAAGUCAAGGAAGAGACUGCUAAGGAAAUGAAGAAGUCCAACAUGGAGAAAGCCUCAGUUGGGAGCUAGCCUGUCUUUAACACCUCUGACGCUUGCUGCCCUCCCUGUUUUACAAAGAGAGAGCAGACCUCAGGCUCAGAGCCUUCAGCCGGCCACAGAGUCUAGCUGGGGUUCGCUAACAUUUCCUUGCAUUUGUAUUUAUGGCUGCCUUCCAUUUACGGCUCAAGCAUGAGAAGUCUGUCCUGUGAAGACACCUGACCACGAUGCAUCCAACCUGGAGCCCCGGCUUCUAGUCCUGGCUCUGUCCCGAAGGGGUGUGUGGCUUUGGCCACAUUCUGCUACGUGUUCAGCGAAGCUGAUGGGUAACAUACACUCCACAAUUCUCAAGUUCUACAAUUCAAUAGGAGACGGAGCCAGCUCUCUAAAUUAACAAUACAAAUCGGGUGACUUCUUAGUUCCUCUUGGCUUGAGUCCCUGCCUCCUGGGACUGGAGAAAUAGGUGGGAAAUAGGUGUGUCAGACUCCCUGGCCUGGGUCAGAGAAUCACUGAGUUGUGGGCAGCUGGCAGGAAACUUCAGUGAUGAUCAAGACUCAUGUCCCCUCUCCCCCAUUCACUAGCAAAAAUUUACUAAGCAAUUGUUCUGAAUAGAGUGUGGGCAGGGGUGGCAGCUGUUGUGUUCACUGAUUUAUCCAUGGUUCACAUCAUCCCAGCUGGCACUUAGUGGGUGCUCAUCAAAUGUCUAUUGACUGAUGGGUAGUUUCCUGCAGCACAGUCAUUUAGGGGAACCUAUUAAAUGCAGAUUCCUGGGCCCUCUGUUGACCUAUUGAAUUUUAAUCUUUGGUGACAGGGACCAAGUAUCUGUCAUGACUGGGGUCUGCGGUUUACACCGUGCACAGAUCUGGCUUCAGAUCUCAGCUGUGUCUCUGCUUGGUCUUGGACUAAUCAUUUCAACCCCUUUUAAGCAUUUGUUUCCUCAGUCAUAAAAUGGAUAUCACACCGC